RNAcentral lists this long non-coding RNA (5261 nucleotides) under Homo sapiens (human). RNAcentral describes it as "HSALNT0215696". The record is from RNAcentral. Lineage: Eukaryota; Metazoa; Chordata; Mammalia; Primates; Hominidae.
UGUUGCUCUGUUGCCCAGGCUGGAGUGCAGUGGCUCGAUUGAUCUCAGCUCACUGCAACCUCUACCUCCUGGGUUCAAGUGAUUCUCUUGCCUCAGCUUCCCGAGUAGCUGGGAUUACAGGCGUGCGCCACCAUGCCCAGCUAAUUUUUGUAUUUUUAGUGGAGAUGGGGUUUCACCAUGUUGGCCAGGCUGGUCUUGAACUCCUGACCUCAGGUGAUCUGCCCACCUUGGCCUCGCAAAAUGCUAGGAUUAGAGGCAUGAGCCACCGCGCCCGGCCAAGGAAAGAGGUUUAAUUGACUCACAGUUCUGUCUGGCUGGGAAGCCCCAGGAAACUUACAAUCAUGGCGGAAGGGGAAGGGAAAGCAAGGCACCUUCUUCACAUGGCAGUGGGAAAAGUGCCAAAGAAAGGGAGAAAAGCCCCUUGUAAAACCAUCAGAUCUUGUGAGAAUUCACUCACUAUCUCGAGAAUAGCAUGGGAAAACCCCUACUUGAUUCAGUUACCUCCCACUGGGUCCCUCCUAUGACACGUGGGGAUUAUGGGAACUACAAUUCAAGGUGAGAUUUGGGUGGGGACACAGCCAAACCAUAUCAGCUGCCGUCACAAAGCAAUGCACACUGGGCAGUGUAACAAUAGAUGGUUAUUGUCCUGUAGUUCUGGAGGCUGGGGCUCUGAGAUUGAGGGUUCGGCAGGGCUGGCUGUCUCCUGCUCUGUCCUAGGCCAGUCUCCUGGCUUCUGGUGAUCUGUGACAUUGCUCGGCUUGUAGAGGCAUCACUCUGGUUUCUGCCUUUAUCAUCGUGUGGUGCUCUCCUAGGAGGCUGUCUGUGUCCAGACUCCCCCUUUCAUAAGGACACAGCAGUGUCCGAUCAGGACCCACCUCAUAACCUCAUUUUUUUUUUCCAAGACAGAGUCUUGCUCUGUUGCCCAGGCUGGAGUGGGCACUAACCACUAACCUUUGGAGUUAAUGGUGUGAUCUUGGCUCACUGCAACCUCCGCCUCCUGGGUUCAAGCAAUUCUCCUGCCUCAGCCUCCCGAGUAGCUGGGAUUACAGGCACCCUCCACCACACCCGGCUAAUUUUUGUAUUUUUAGUAGAGACAGGGUUCCACCAUGUUGGCCAGGCUGGUCUUGAACUCCUGACCUCUUGAUCCACCCGCCUCGGCCUCCCAAAGUGCUGGGAUUACAGGUGUGAACCACCGUGCCCGGUGACCUCAUCUUAACCUGAUCAUCUCCAAGGACCCUAUUAUGUCUCUGCCCAUGAACAUUCAUGGUCUGGGGGGAGAAUGAGACAUGACAGAGGCAGGUGCAAGAUGGGGCAGCGUGUGCCCUGAGAAGGGGGGUGCUGGGGCCCCAGCACAGGAGGGUUCUGGGCUGCAGUGGCCUGGCACACAGUAGGUGCUCCCUGCCUUUUAGUUGGUAGAUGAGUGAGUGAGAAGAGAUCGGAAGAUCUAGGGCUGUCCUGCUUGGUGCUGAGAAGCAUGGAAGCUGCUUAAAGACACAGGAAAGAAUUUCUCGCCCCCAGGCUCCAGUGCCUUGGGUGUUGAAAGAUCAAAUUCCUGGAAUUCAUCUCCUCUGUCUACUCAGGCUGUCCCUUCAUCAAGCACAAGGACCCGGGGAGAGGCUGGCAACAUGUUAGAGCUUGGCGGAGGGGGUGAGCUGGCCCCAAGUGCAGCCUGGAUUCCAGACGCUGCCAAAACCGGCUUGAUAUAUGUUUGGUCUCAGCAUAGAAUCUUUCCAUCAUCCAACUGUCCUUGUCUCGAAACUGGAGGGGGAGUCCCUUUGAAACUGAUGUCUGGUUUUCCACAGCCAUACAAUUAAUAGUUACUGGUGUGCAGAGUCACCAUCCUGCAGAGGUAAAGCCUUCCCUGUGGCCCAAAGCGGGGAACAUGCAGCCUUGCCGGCUGUGCAGACUCUGCUGCUGCUUUUUCCCUCCUCCCUGCACUGGCCGCUCCAUUUCGCACUCUGUUGAAGCUGAAGCUGGCGUCUUGGUGGUUUUAUGGGGCCGGGGUCCCGUGAUGGGGCCACAUGGAGUUCUUCAGUGGGUUCAGUGGCUAGAGCAGGGCUCUGUCUCCCCAUCAAUCCUGGCAAGUCAUGUUCCCUUCCUCUCUGAGCCUCAGUUUCCCCAUGUACUGAGUUUCAGGCUUAGGUGAUGUAUUAGAUUUGAAGCCUGGGGCUUGAAUGAAUUUUAUUGCUAUUGUGAAGGGUGUGAAGACCUUAUAAACUGCUCUUAUGGAUCACUUGGUCACAACCUGUCAUUUGGGGGAAAGCUUGGCACUGAGAUGACGUUGAACCUCACAGCAGGGGGAGCAGUGGAGCAUGUGCCCAUUCUCUCACAUCCAGCAAGGUUCACCCUGUCCUGUACCGUACAGUCAGGGAACAGCGACUGGUUAGGCAGUCCCAUCCCCACUUCUCUCUUGCUCUGGCCCUCAUUCUCUGAUGGCCCCUCGAAGCACAGCACAAAUAAAAUGGCAACACUCGAACUCCAGCCAAAGUCAAGUUCCACUGGCUCCUUUUGGCAUUAGCCAGAGAGGGCUGCUCAAUGUCUAAUCUUGGAAGACCAAAUCACUCUUCCAACAUUAUCCCCGCUCAAGUGGCAUCCCUGAAAGUCAGCCUUUGUGAGCAUCUCAAGUGUGUGGAUGAUUUUGUUCUAGGCUCCAUCAAUGAGCAAAUCUUUGCUUUUUGUUGAGCAAAUGGAUGAAUAUUUAUUCCGGGGAAGACUGGCUAUUAGCUGAGCCUCUCCAUUCUGCUAAUCUUGACACCGGCCAGAUCAUCUACUUUAUCCAUAAGCAGAAUCACUGGGUUUUGGGUGGAGGACCAAACUUUAGAUCGACAAGCAGGGCCCUGGCGAUGAGGAAACCAGCCUGAAAAUGAUUAUUUGCAGCCUGAUUAUUUAUGGGAUAUACUAUGGGAUAGUGAAGCAGAUCGCUCAGGUCACACAAUAACCUGAUGUAGCAGACGAGGUCCUGCCUCUCAGUCCAGGACACCUGCCCCUUAUGACCGUCUAUCACAGGCCAUCAAGCAGGUCUGCUGGGGUUCAAGGUUUGUAGUCCCCCUAAACAGAAGCCUCUUGCCCACUUGGUGGCCACAAAACCAGCGCAUCCCCUGAAGGCUCUUCAGGCCCAUGGCCCAAGAUGUCUGCUCUUCAGGAACCUUGGAGGCCACACAGAUGCCAUGGAAGGGGUAACCCAUAGUGGCUCAGGUCACCUGAUGGAAAACCAGGGCCACAAGCAUCAUGCGAUGGGCAUGGAUAGAUCAUGCUCCAGCAACAUGGGCUCAUUCAAAAGCUGAGCACCAAGGGAACAAGGCACUUUGGUCCAGGCAGAGGAGAGAGGAGAGGGGACAGAGAGGAGAAAGAGGGCUCUGCCAAAGGUGGGAGGCUGCCCAGGGGCCCGGCACACACAGUAGGACCACUGGAGGGAGACUCAUGCAGACAGUAAGGCAGGGCAGACAGGCUGGCCCCAUUCCUAGUCUCUGUCCAUCCCUCUGAAUCUGAAGGAAGCAAGGGAAUCGGAAGGAAACAGAAUGGUAGGAAAACAGGAUGAAGUGGUGAGUGGGGUAGACGCACGGAAUGCAUGCAACGAUGGCAUGGGAUAUCCACUCGAGCCUUGCUCAUCAUUUACCUGAAUUCAAAUGUAACUGGGAGUUCUUUUAUUUUUAUUUGCUAAAUCUGGCAACUCACAGAGGAGGUGGGGUGAUGGCAUUGCCAGCAUCCUCAGUCUAGCAACGACACCAGGAACCUUCCCAGCAGCGUCUUAUGCUGCCCUUGACGUGGGCUGGGCCAUGACGCCAAAGUGCAGGCCAGCAAAAGCCAGUCUCCUGUGCCAGGUAAGCAGGCGCGUGGAUGCUGGGCUCUCACUUGGGCCCCUGGUGGCUGUGCUGGUUGAUUUUACUGUGUUAACUUGACUGGGCCAUGGGGCACCCAGAUAUGUGGUCAGACAUUACCCUGGCUGUGUGGGCAAGGGUAUUUCCGGACGAGAUUAAUGCUUGAGUUGGUGGAUUGAGUAAAACAGUUGGUCCUGCCCAAUGCAGGUGGGCCUCCUCCAAUCCGUUGAGGGUCUAAAUAGAACAAAAUGCUAUUGGAGACCCUCCCCCAGGUAAGAGAGAAUUCUCCCUGCCUGGUGGCCAUUGAGCUGGGACAUUGGCUUUCUGCUGCCUUCAGAUUUGAAUGGAAGCAUCAGCUCUUCCUGGGUUUCCAGCCUGCGGACUCAUCCAUCUCCAAAACUGUGACAGCUAUUUCCUUUAUAUAUUAAUAUAUGUGCUAUAUAUCUCCAUAUCCUACUGGUCCUGUUUCUCUGAAGAACCCUAACACGGUAGCUAUGGUGAGAGGUGCUCCGACACCUCCUGCAGCUGCAGCAGUUCCCUGUGGCCGGCACCACAAGCCCAGUGUGUUGGGCACAGGUGGCCUCACUCCAGGCAGUGGUGUCACAGGGUGGACCUGACAUGGGCCCAUCCACGAAGUUUGUCGCAUGCCUGCGUGGUGACGGAUGGGCUCCUGGAACCCUGAUUUCUCAGGAGGGAAACACGCCUUUUGUUUCUUUUAAAAUUUGUUGGGAUAGCCCAAAUCUGCUUUUCCAAAGUGAGGAAAUGCCAUAUUCCAGGACGGGAGACAGGGAGGAGGCAUGACAUGCCUCCUAUGAGCCACGCUCCCUGUCCACACCAUUCCAUUUUGGUUUUUAAUUCUUAGGAGGACCUCAGGAACCCAGGAUCUGAUCACUCCAGCUCCUGGUUUAUGCCGCUCGCUCACAACUGGUCCAGUGUGUUAAUUUUAUGUGCGUGUGUGUAUAAUAAAUCAUGUGAGCCCGCCACCAACACGAGAAUCAGAGCAUCGUCCAUAACUUGCUUCUACUGAGGGCCUGUGCUCUCCCUCCCCCAGGUUUCUCUUUCCAUCGUUCCUGGAACCAUGCUGAGUCAGGCUUGCUGUGACUCCAGCAAGAUGGGUGAGCAGAGGCCCUGCACAGUGAGUGGCGAGCUGGGGUCUGAACCGGAGCCUGCACAGCUCUGAGGCUGCGCUCCCUUAGCCCUGGGUGGCUGCUCCCCGACCAGCUCCAGUGGGCAGGCUGGGUCUGCCUCGUCCAACACAGAAUCACCAGGGGCUGGUGCAUGGAAGGUGCCUAUUUGUUGAGUGAAAUAGUUUCACGAUGUCUACACAUAUCAGAAUAUCACAUUUGUACUCCAUAAAUAGAUGGGAUUAUUGUCGAUUAAAAAUCAAAAUAAAAAAUAUAUUUGUUGAGUAAACAGGCAUCCUCCCUUGCAAGCCUAUACUGG